CCUCCUGGUGCUUCGGAGCUCAUGAACUGUUUAAUAAUUGGAAACAAAGCCGCCAAAGAUUGACAAAAGAUGUACAAGUUCGUAAGUGCUUGCGUAACUGCUUCGUGAAUCUGGCCCCAGGUGGUUGAGAUGGUUCUGGUCACCUCCAGACAGCUUCCAGGCAGUCUGGAGGCGAACGGGUCACCACUCGGUUUUAUUACUACAGGUACUGUCGCAAGCCCAGCCCGUAGCAUCUUACAUACUCCAUGCAAGAUGCAUGGGGGUAUACAAUCUUGCCUCCAUACUUCUUGCAUCUUCCAUACAUAGCAUUUUGCCUCCCAUACAACUACUUUGUCUCUCUACUGCAUAAUACUUCUUGGUCCCACGAGGUUAUUUUACUACUUGGCCCAACUACCCCAUGCUGCUUCUUGUCUCCUCUUCUGCAUAGACUACUACUCUGUAUCUUGUGUUUACCUUAUGUUGGUUUCAGGGAUCACUGGCCUUAUCUCUGACCAGGCCUCCUAGUUGUGAUCUGGUUCAACCAGUCUAUUAGAUAAGCAUUAGACAUAUUGCCGGAACAACAGUGGACAUCUUCAACCAGGUGGAGGGAAGCAACAGGGUAUGGGAACCAGGUGGAGGGAAGCAAUAGGGUAUGGGAACCAGGUGGAGGGAAGCAACAGGGUAUGGGAACCAGGUGGAGGGAAGCAACAGGGUAUGGGAACUAGGUGGAGGGAAGUAGCAUAACAAUGUAAGAGAGGGAAAAGGAUUGGCAACAAGGUAAGGGUGUAGAGUGGAACCUCUUGUUAAGUCGCACACUUUAAUGAGGAUGCUGCCUUAUCUCCUCAGCCUGAUAACAUGAGUUCUUACUGUUUUUCUUCUGUAUGGAACUAUAGAACAGCUGUGGCUGGUUCAUUUUACAAGUUAGAUGACCUCUAACCACCUCUAAAUUGAGGUGGUUAGAUGACUGAUGACAGCAAGCAAUAUGUCACACUGUAAUACAACCUAAGCUAUG
Molecule: non-coding RNA, 991 nt
Organism: Procambarus clarkii (red swamp crayfish)
Lineage: Eukaryota; Metazoa; Arthropoda; Malacostraca; Decapoda; Cambaridae
Source: RefSeq, a predicted model, not a curated record